CUUUUAGUUUUCAUUCUGAGAUCCAAUAUCUAGAUUGCUUUCGGUCUGUCUGAUUGUCAGAUUAAUAAUAUGUUUGGUCAAAGUUUCAACCAAUCAGACAGAUAGAAAGCAAUCUGGAUAUUGGAUCUCAGAAUGAAAAUGACCAGAG
RNAcentral lists this microRNA precursor (148 nucleotides) under Arabidopsis lyrata. RNAcentral describes it as "miR3449 stem-loop (aly-MIR3449)". The record is from miRBase by way of RNAcentral. Lineage: Eukaryota; Viridiplantae; Streptophyta; Magnoliopsida; Brassicales; Brassicaceae.